GACGAACGCUGGCGGCGUGCUUAACACAUGCAAGUCGAACGGAAAGGCCCUGCUUUUGUGGGGUGCUCGAGUGGCGAACGGGUGAGUAACACGUGAGUAACCUGCCCUUGACUUUGGGAUAACUUCAGGAAACUGGGGCUAAUACCGGAUAGGAGCUCCUGCUGCAUGGUGGGGGUUGGAAAGUUUCGGCGGUUGGGGAUGGACUCGCGGCUUAUCAGCUUGUUGGUGGGGGAGUGGCUUACCAAGGCUUUGACGGGUAGCCGGCCUGAGAGGGGGACCGGCCACAGUGGGACUGUGAUACGGCCCAGACUCGUACGGGAGGCAGCAGUGGGGAAUAUUGCACGAUGGGCGGAAGCCGGAUGCAGCAACGCCGCGUGCGGGAUGACGGCCUUCGGGUUGUAAACCGCUUUCGCCUGUGACGAAGCGUGAGUGACGGUAAUGGGUGAAGAAGCACCGGCUAACUACGUG
RNAcentral lists this ribosomal RNA (468 nucleotides) under uncultured bacterium. Its description in RNAcentral is "partial 16S ribosomal RNA". It matches the Rfam family "Bacterial small subunit ribosomal RNA", at positions 28 to 507 of the family's 1533-position model. The record is from RNAcentral.